Molecule: ribosomal RNA, 403 nt
Filed under: uncultured bacterium
Lineage: Bacteria
Description: partial 16S ribosomal RNA
Rfam family: Bacterial small subunit ribosomal RNA
Source: RNAcentral
GACGAACGCUGGCGGCGUGCCUAAUACAUGCAAGUCGAACGCAGUGGGGACGGGUGAGUAACACGUGGGUAACCUCCCAUCAGAGGGGAUAACACUUGGAAACAGGCGCUUAAUCGAUACUGAUGGAUGGUCUCGCGGUGCAUUAGCUAGUUGGUGAGGUAACGGCUCACCAAGGCCACGAUGCAUAGCCGACCGGAGCGGGUGAUAGGCCACACUGGGACUGAGACACGGCCCAGACUCCUACGGGAGGCAGCAGUAGGGAAUCGUCGGCAAUGGACGAAAGUCUGACCGAGCAACGCCGCGGUGAUGAAGAAGGUUUUCGGAUCGUAAAACUCUGUUGUUAGAGAGGCGGUAUCUAACCAGAAAGCCACGGCUAACUACGGGCCAGCAGCCGCGGUAAUUC